AAAUUGAAGAGUUUGAUCAUGGCUCAGAUUGAACGCUGGCGGCAGGCCUAACACAUGCAAGUCGAACGGUAACAGGAAGCAGCUUGCUGYUUYGCUGACGAGUGGCGGACGGGUGAGUAAUGUCUGGGAAACUGCCUGAUGGAGGGGGAUAACUACUGGAAACGGUGGCUAAUACCGCAUAACGUCGCAAGACCAAAGAGGGGGACCUUCGGGCCUCUUGCCAUCAGAUGUGCCCAGAUGGGAUUAGCUUGUUGGUGAGGUAACGGCUCACCAAGGCGACGAUCCCUAGCUGGUCUGAGAGGAUGACCAGCCACACUGGAACUGAGAC
Molecule: ribosomal RNA, 328 nt
Filed under: Salmonella enterica
Lineage: Bacteria; Pseudomonadati; Pseudomonadota; Gammaproteobacteria; Enterobacterales; Enterobacteriaceae
Description: bacterial SSU rRNA
Source: RNAcentral